UGAACUUUUAACUAGUGUUUUAUUGUCCCAGUAAACAAUUAACGUGCGUUCUUGCCCCAGCAGCAAAAUAAAAAGCUGUUAUGACCAAAAUAUUUGGUUGUGAAAUGAAUCGCAAGAUAGAACCAUGUUUUUCUUCUUGUCUUGAAGCUGGAUACCAAAUGAAGUGAUGGUAUCACAGCAUAUUAAUUGGUAACCCAAGUAUUGCUGAAUCUAUGCGAAGGGUGACAAGACAG
Molecule: long non-coding RNA, 233 nt
Organism: Daphnia pulicaria
Lineage: Eukaryota; Metazoa; Arthropoda; Branchiopoda; Diplostraca; Daphniidae
Exons: 2
Source: RefSeq, a predicted model, not a curated record